This 235-nucleotide long non-coding RNA is filed under the name Elaeis guineensis (African oil palm). RNAcentral's name for it is "long non-coding RNA (EGUI_LNC018485)". Lineage: Eukaryota; Viridiplantae; Streptophyta; Magnoliopsida; Arecales; Arecaceae. The record is from RNAcentral.
AUGAUGAAGAACGAGAAUCGAAAUUGGAUUAACAAUUGGCAUGAAAAUCAAGAUGCAACAGGAGUUGUCCGAUUUGAUUUUAUGACUAUGUGAUGUAAAGUUAUCAACCGACUUUAAUUUAAUUUAGUCUAAUAUUUUAAUUCAACAUGGGAUAAAUAGACUUUUAGUAUUUUUUUUAAUAUAAAAGCGAUGUUUAGUCCCACAUCUAUUAUUUUAUUUUUUUAUUUUUUCCAGU